RNAcentral lists this ribosomal RNA (468 nucleotides) under uncultured bacterium. RNAcentral describes it as "partial 16S ribosomal RNA". It matches the Rfam family "Bacterial small subunit ribosomal RNA", at positions 28 to 507 of the family's 1533-position model. The record is from RNAcentral.
GACGAACGCUGGCGGCGUGCUUAACACAUGCAAGUCGAACGGAAAGGCCAUGCUUUUGUGGGGUGCUCGAGUGGCGAUCGGGUGAGUAACACGUGAGUAACCUGCUCUUGACUUUGGGAUAACUUCAGGAAACUGGGGCUAAUACCGGAUAGGAGCUCCUGCUGCAUGGUGGGGGUUGGAAUGUUUCGGCGGUUGUGGAUGGACUCGCGGCUUAUCAGCUUGUUGGUGGGGUAGUGGCUUACCAAGGCUUUGACGGGUAGCCGGCCUGAGAGGGUGACCGGCCACAUUGGGACUGAGAUACGGCCCAGACUCCUACGGGAGGCAGCAGUGGGGAAUAUUGCACAAUGGGCGGAAGCCUGAUGCAGCAACGCCGCGUGCGGGAUGACGGCCUUCGGGUUGUAAACCGCUUUCGCCUGUGACGAAGCGUGAGUGACGGUAAUGGGUAAAGAAGCACCGGCUAACUACGUG